CCAGACUCCUACGGGAGGCAGCAGUGGGGAAUAUUGCACAAUGGGCGAAAGCCUGGUGCAGCGACGCCGCGUGAGGGAUGACGGCCUUCGGGUUGUAAACCUCUUUCGCUCAUGGUCAAGCCGCAACUCAAGGUUGUGGUGAGGGUAGUGGGUAAAGAAGCGCCGGCUAACUACGUGCCAGCAGCCGCGGUAAUACGUAGGGCGCGAGCGUUGUCCGGAAUUAUUGGGCGUAAAGGGCUUGUAGGCGGUUGGUCGCGUCUGCCGUGAAAUCCUCUGGCUUAACUGGGGGCGUGCGGUGGGUACGGGCUGACUUGAGUGCGGUAGGGGAGACUGGAACUCCUGGUGUAGCGGUGGAAUGCGCAGAUAUCAGGAAGAACACCGGUGGCGAAGGCGGGUCUCUGGGCCGUUACUGACGCUGAGGAGCGAAAGCGUGGGGAGCGAACAGGAUUAGAUACCCUGGUAGUCCACGCUGUAAACGUUGGGCACUAGGUGUGGGGGCCACCCGUGGUUUCUGCGCCGUAGCUAACGCUUUAAGUGCCCCGCCUGGGGAGUACGGCCGCAAGGCUAAAACUCAAAGGAAUUGACGGGGGCCCGCACAAG
This 600-nucleotide ribosomal RNA is filed under the name uncultured bacterium. Its description in RNAcentral is "bacterial SSU rRNA". It matches the Rfam family "Bacterial small subunit ribosomal RNA", at positions 331 to 929 of the family's 1533-position model. The record is from RNAcentral.